UUCCAAGCAUAAAAAUUUCUCCUUUUCUAAUCCUUAACAAAUUUGGGAUAUUUGCACUUUAGUUCCAUGCUCCCUUUUAUUUUCUACCUUCAUCUCCUCUUCUCUCUCACUUCAGCUGGCAACUACCCACUACCAUAUACCCCAACAUAUUUUAUUAUCCUCAACUAUGGUGCAUAAUCGUCUUCGCCGAGUACGGUAUCAGAAGAUGGAUGUAAAAAUGGGUGAUCGAUGACCGCUCCAAAUUCGUUGCUUCUAAUUCUGAUAGUGCUUUAAUGGCGUCUAUAACCUCCAGGCAAGAUCACUCUGUUUCUCAAGUUCCUUAUAUGAAUGCUAGAGUUUUUCAUGAUGAAUUCACUUAUAGCUUUCAAGUAUCACCUGGCCCUAAAUUCUUUCGUUUAUAUUUCUACUCAACUCAAUACUUUGGCUUUGAUGGAAUUGCUUCUUUCCUAUCUGUUACCGCCAAUCAUCACCUUCUCCUCAGCAAUUUCAGUGCCUCUUUAACUCUUUCUGGUGAAUAUGAUCAACAAGCCUCGUUGUUCAAAGAGUUUAUGAUUCCAUGUUUGGAAACCGAGGAGCUGAAUGUCAUCUUUUCGCCAUCGUUUAACUCUUCGGCCUUUGUGAACGACAUCGAAGUUGUUUCCAUGUUUCAAAGCCAAGUCACCACUGUAGUAAAGGGAAGUGUCAGGUACGUCUAUCCUGAAUAUUACAGAAGACAACAAUUGAUCGAGAAAUAUGAUGUUUACUCUAUCGGUGUGGUUCUAUUCGAAGUAUUAUGCGCUCGACCGUCCAUGAUUCCAGGGCUACCAAAAGACCAAGUCAACCUGGCUCGAGGGGGCAAAAUUUUCCAAGCUACAGGAAACCUUGAAAACAUCAUGGACCCCUGCUUGAUGGGUGAUAUUUCACCUGUGCCUACAAAAAUUUGGGGCGCUCUCCCGAGAGUUGUGUUCGAGACGUGGGAAUAGAGCGACCUACUUUGAACGAUGUGGUUUGGUGUAUAGAAUUUGCAUUGCAAGUGCAAGAGGCAACUGAGAGGGACACAAACAUUGACAUGUGAGGCGAUGAAGUGAUUGCGUCAUCGAGCCAAACCAGCCCUUUGAUGUGCAAAAGAGCUAGCAGAGUUACGACCACGAAUAACGAUAACAAAGAGUUGUUCUGUGUUUUUGGUGGGAAAGUGUCAGAAUCAAGGAGCACAAUUAGCAGUGUGGGAAGGAGUAUUAGUCGAGGAACAAAAUCAUAUUCAAUAAUUGUUUGAUGGAUGAGGAGAAGCUAUUUGAGGAUGCGAUUUUAUUGACUGGUGGAAACAAGAAUACUCUAGGUUGUAUUUGAGAAGCUUAUAACAUGGAGGCCAGCAAACGGCGAUUCAAAGAAGGGAUUGUUGUGAGUGAGUUGGUUCGAUUUUCAAAAAUAUUUUAGCCAAAGGUUCGAUUAUUUGAGGGGUAGCUGCCGAAGUGAUUACGGAUGAUAUGCGAUGUAGUUUUGGUCUGAGGUUGUAUAUCAGUAUCGCUCCCAGUCUGCAUUGUGUGUGUCCUAUUUGUUUCUGGGUGAGUGCAAAAUUUCAAUUCGUCCAGCAUGCAGCUCGGGCAAAUAUGUGAUGAUGGAAGAGAUAUUGUUUCUUUCUACAUUGGCUUUGCUUUGCAGGUCAUUGGUGUUAUGAUCCCAGUUCUAAAUAUUUAAUCCUUUAAAGUCUAUUUGCAAAGUCUUAUUCUGCUGCAGCUUUUAUGUGUUGAAUAGUUUGAUUCUGCAGUAGGCUUAGGGCUCGAAUAUUGUGUUGGUGUAAAGAUGGUUUGCAAGUAUGGUUGUUGGGUUAUAGGGUAUUAAUUGGUCUGGUGUAUGAACGUGGUACUAG
This is an RNA transcript of Hibiscus syriacus, 1846 nucleotides long. It is a transcript of the gene named probable receptor-like protein kinase At5g39030, with no coding region annotated. The transcript has 2 exons. The record is from RefSeq and is a predicted model, not a curated record. NCBI's taxonomy places the organism in Eukaryota, Viridiplantae, Streptophyta, Magnoliopsida, Malvales, Malvaceae.